AGCUCUCUGCUAAAGGUUGCUGAAGUAUAGAGGGUGAAUUCUGCCCAAUGGUUGUACAGUGAAACUGAGGACUAACGUCUAAAGCGAAACCCAACUGAAUGGCCGCGGUAACUCUGACCGUGAUAAUGUAGCACAAUAAAUAGCCAAUUAAUUGUUGGCGGGUAUGAAUGGAAUCACGAGGGUCUUACUGUCUCAAGAGAAAAGCCGAUGAAAUUAUAGUUGUAGUGAAGAUACUACAUAAACAUUGUAAGACGAAAAGACCCUAUCGAGCUUUACUGGAUACCGAUAGCGUUAACCUAAUAUGAUCGAUACUAAGUAUCCUAAUUUUGGGUUAAUAAAUUUUGUUGGUAGGACAGUUUAGUUGGGGCGACUACCUUUGAAUAAGAAACGAAGGCGAGCUUAUGGUAUACAAAGCUAAUCUCAUUAGCCUGACAGUGAGGGGGACACCCCUAGCUGGCACAAGGACUACGUCCUAUGUGGGCGAUAAUGACCCGAUAUGAUUGUCCAAAAUAAAUAUCGAAAGCGGAUAAAAGCUACCGUAGGGAUAACAGCGUAAUAUUGUCGGAGAGUUCUUAUCGAGGACAGUGUUUGCGACCUCGAUGUUGAAUUGCGGUGUCCUGGUGCUGUAGAAGGUACCUUAGGUUGGUCUGUUCGACCAUGAAAACCGU
Molecule: ribosomal RNA, 668 nt
Filed under: Plexaurella dichotoma
Lineage: Eukaryota; Metazoa; Cnidaria; Anthozoa; Malacalcyonacea; Plexauridae
Description: partial 16S ribosomal RNA
Rfam family: Bacterial large subunit ribosomal RNA
Source: RNAcentral